This 492-nucleotide ribosomal RNA is filed under the name uncultured bacterium. RNAcentral's name for it is "partial 16S ribosomal RNA". It matches the Rfam family "Bacterial small subunit ribosomal RNA", at positions 28 to 507 of the family's 1533-position model. The record is from RNAcentral.
GAUGAACGCUGGCGGCGUGCCUAACACAUGCAAGUCGAACGGAAAGACGGUGAGAUUGUGCCUUUAACGUUGGCGGCGGGCGGGCGAGUGACACGUGGAUCAGCAUCUUCUAUUUCGGGGAGAAUUACGGAAGACAGGAUACAAUAAUAGAGAAUAUAUUGAACCGGUGGGUUCAAUGGAGAUUGGCGGCUUUGGCGUCUGAAUUAGCUGGUGCCGCAUUAGCUAGUUGGGUGGGUAAGGGCCCACCAAGGCGACGAUACGUAGCCGACCUGAGAGGAUGAUCGGCCACACUGGAACUGAGACACGGUCCAGACUCCUACGGGAGGCAGCAGUAGGGAAUCUUCGGCAAUGGGCGAAAGCCUGACGCAGCAACGCCGCGUGAGUGAUGAAGGUCUUCGGGUCGUAAAGCCCUUUUAUUGGGGAAGAACAGCUGUGGAAGUAAACAUGGCCGUCUUGACGGUACCUAAUCAAAAAGCAACGGCUAACUACGUG